RNAcentral lists this ribosomal RNA (441 nucleotides) under uncultured bacterium. RNAcentral describes it as "partial 16S ribosomal RNA". It matches the Rfam family "Bacterial small subunit ribosomal RNA", at positions 339 to 795 of the family's 1533-position model. The record is from RNAcentral.
CUACGGGAUGCUGCAGUCGAGAAUCUUCCGCAAUGGACGAAAGUCUGACGGAGCGACGCCGCGUGACCGAUUAAGCCCUUCGGGGUGUAAAAGUCUUUUUUUAGGGACGAACAAAUGACGGUACCUAAAGAAUAAGGGGCUGCUAAACUCGUGCCAGCAGCAGCGGUAAUACGAGUGCCCCAAGCGUUAUCCGGAUUUAUUGGGCGUAAAGCGUGCGAAGGUGGCUUGGUAAGUCGAAGGUUAAAGCCUGAAGCUCAACUUCAGAUCAGCCUUUGAUACUGUCAAGCUAGAGGCUGGGAGAGGCAAGCGGAAUUGCCGGUGUAGGGGUAAAAUCCGUUGAUAUCGGCAGGAACACCAAAUGCGAAGGCAGCUUGCUGGAACAGUCCUGACACUGUUGCACGAAAGCGUGGGGAGCAAAGAGGAUUAGAUACCCUGGUAGUC